RNAcentral lists this ribosomal RNA (465 nucleotides) under uncultured Klebsiella sp. Its description in RNAcentral is "bacterial SSU rRNA". It matches the Rfam family "Bacterial small subunit ribosomal RNA", at positions 338 to 795 of the family's 1533-position model. Lineage: Bacteria; Pseudomonadati; Pseudomonadota; Gammaproteobacteria; Enterobacterales; Enterobacteriaceae. The record is from RNAcentral.
CCUACGGGUGGCUGCAGUUGGGAAUAUUGCACAAUGGGCGCAAGCCUGAUGCAGCCAUGCCGCGUGUGUGAAGAAGGCCUUCGGGUUGUAAAGCACUUUCAGCGGGGAGGAAGGCGGUGAGGUUAAUAACCUCAUCGAUUGACGUUACCCGCAGAAGAAGCACCGGCUAACUCCGUGCCAGCAGCCGCGGUAAUACGGAGGGUGCAAGCGUUAAUCGGAAUUACUGGGCGUAAAGCGCACGCAGGCGGUCUGUCAAGUCGGAUGUGAAAUCCCCGGGCUCAACCUGGGAACUGCAUUCGAAACUGGCAGGCUAGAGUCUUGUAGAGGGGGGUAGAAUUCCUGGUGUAGCGGUGAAAUGCGUAGAGAUCUGGAGGAAUACCGGUGGCGAAGGCGGCCCCCUGGACAAAGACUGACGCUCAGGUGCGAAAGCGUGGGGAGCAAACAGGAUUAGAUACCCGUGUAGUC